CCUACGGGAGGCAGCAGUGGGGAAUAUUGGGCAAUGGACGCAAGUCUGAACCAGCCAAGUCGCGUGAGGGAUGAAGGUUCUAUGGAUCGUAAACCUCUUUUAUAAGGGAAUAAAGUGUGGGACGUGUCCUGUUUUUUAUGUACCUUAUGAAUAAGGAUCGGCUAACUCCGUGCCAGCAGCCGCGGUAAUACGGAGGAUCCGAGCGUUAUCCGGAUUUAUUGGGUUUAAAGGGUGCGUAGGCGGCCUUUUAAGUCAGCGGUGAAAGGCUGUGGCUCAACCAUAGAAUUGCCGUUGAAACUGGGAGGCUUGAGUAUGUUUGAGGCAGGGGGAAUGCGUGGUGUAGCGGUGAAAUGCUUAGAUAUCACGCAGAACCCCGAGUGCGAAGGCAGCCUGCCAAGCCAUGACUGACGCUGAUGCACGAAAGCGUGGGGAUCAAACAGGAUUAGAUACCCUUGUAGUC
RNAcentral lists this ribosomal RNA (460 nucleotides) under uncultured bacterium. RNAcentral describes it as "partial 16S ribosomal RNA". It matches the Rfam family "Bacterial small subunit ribosomal RNA", at positions 338 to 795 of the family's 1533-position model. The record is from RNAcentral.